CAAAUUGUAUACCUCUGGCCUAGAGCACUGAGAGAAAGUGAUAUGUCCAACAUCACGCAGGCAUUAUGUAGCAGAGGCAGAAUUUGAAUAUAGGACCUACUGGCUUCAAAGCCAACUAACUGUCUUUUCACUAUGCUACGUAGCCUCUCAGUAAAUCAUGAUAGUUUGGAUUUUUAUAAGGAGACUUUAAGAUAUAUUUCAACAUAAUAUCUAUCAAUCGAUUCUGUCUUCACAAUAGUAUUGUGUGAAUUUUAAAAGUCUCCAUCUUGGUCUAGCACCCAAAAAUUGUGCACACCCAACUACACGGGCAUGCGCUAGUCAAUGGCAAAUCAGAAAUAACUAACCGCCCACCUGGGCUGUCCUAAGCCAAGCUAGAGCCAACCAUUGGAUUUGUGAGACACAGGAAGUGAGGUAGGGAACAGCCUCUGGAAUUCGCGGACUUCCUGUGGAGAGAGCUAGAGGGGAGUUGGUGUUAGGAGCUUGGAGAGAGAGGACGCCCGCAGACAGCUUUCCUUCAGAUCGGUCACAUCAGAUAUUAUUCGAGUUCCCUUCUCUAUGACCAUCUGUACUGUACUAAGAUGGAAGCAAUAAUACAAUCCUGCAGUGCUAACUUGCCACAGGAAGUGUCCUCUCUCAAUGGAAGUUUAAAGGAAACGGUGCCCCUUUUACUUGGAAAGAAUUUAUCUUUAUUUUCUACCUCACUGUUCUGUUUAACUGAAAGGUUUUUGUUUUUGAAUGCUUAUAUCCUCUGGCUUGCAAUUUAGGUAGUUAGGUGAAUAAUAUUUGAAUCCUCUAUGCUUCUAUUUCUUUUUGAACUUUAAAUGCCAAUUAAUUUCAUAAUGAAGCCCAAGAAAUAUAAUACUGUCUUAAACUUACAGGAGCUAAGCCAUACAUUAUUACAUCAAGAGCUCCCAGAAUGACUCCUUCAAUGAUUAAUUUCAUUUUUAAUACUUUGAUUAAACUCAAGAGUAUUCAAAGUUCAGAAAAUUAAGAUGAUACCUGAUCUUUGGUAUAAAAUCAGAUCCAGGCUAUAGAAGAUUAAAGUGAAUUUCAGUAAUAUUUAAAUAUUAGCAGAAAGUAAAGUCCCACUACGAAGUGAUUAUUCCUAUUGAAUAUUUUUAUUCUUCUGUUUGUUUUCUUUUCUCUUGAAGGAGAAAAUAAUUCCCAACCCUAUGGGAAAUGAUUUAUCUUUCUGAGUGAAUAAAACCUCUUAGUCUGAAACCCACUUCUUCACCAUAGAUGAAUUUUUAAAGUCAUAAUGACCUGUAUACCAGUUUUCUCUUCUGAACUGUCAGCUCCACUUUCUGAACAAAUCAUUAACCCCACAUAGCUGUUGGAACAGUCUCGCCCUAUCUUGGUAAUUAGAGUUCUUCAUUAACUUGCUCAACAUUGGCCUUUAUUAUAUGGUUUGAUUCACUGGUUUUAUUCAACUAACAAAAUAAAUGAUGUGGUGUAGUUUGUUUAUUUUUAACUUCUAUAAAGCAAAAUAAAUAGUUCAAAGAAUUUAGCUUAAAUAUUAUAUAAAGUAUUUAUGGUUUAGUCUCUAAUUUAGACAAUAGCAGGACCUUAGAAGAAAGAGUCCAAUGAGCACAUUUUGCAGAUGGAAACAAUGAGGCACAGGCUAUCAACUAUCUUGUUCAUGGACAUACAGAAAACAAAUGGUAGACUCCAAUUUUAAAUCAAGUCCUUUAAAACUUACAUUUUUUACCCCACUGUACCAUGUUGCAAUACAAGAAAAAUAAGUCAGUGAACCUCAUUUCCAUGAAAAAUAAAAGCUAUUUGUUAAGCCAUGCACAAAGCUUGCUUGACUAAAUCAUACUUUUUUUUUUUUUAAACUGAUACCUUUGAGUGCAGCUAGGUGGCUCAGCAGGUUGAGAUCCAAGCCUGAAGACAGGAAGGAGUUCCUGUGUUCAACUGUGACCUCAGACACUUCCUGGUUAUGUAAUGCUGGGCAAGUCACUUGACCCCUAUUGCUUAGCCAUUACCACUCUUCUAACUUGGGACCAAUAUACAGUAUGGAUCCUAAGAAUAUAUUGAUUCUAAGUCUGAAGGUAAGGCAAAUCUUGUGACUGGCUGUGGGUGAUACGUGUCACACAACUAGGAAGUAUAUAAGGUCACAUUUGAUUUCAGCACCUCCUAGCUGUUCCCCCUAAACCAGAGACUUUUGGGAAAAAUUUUUCUCAGAGUCCUAUCCUCAUUUACUUUUCUAAUAUAUGAAAUCUGGUAGUUAGGUACAUUACAUGAUUUUUUGCUGAAAGAUCCUGUCCCCCAAGAGAAUCUUUGUUCUUGCUUGAAUUUACAUUCCUGUAUUACACAGCCAGAGAAAGAUUUGCAUUUUCCUUUGUAAAACAUCUUGCCCUUUAUUCUGAGGACUGAAGGGGAAGAAAGAAAAAAAAAGAAAAGAUUGGUUCUAAACAAAGAUCAUCUUGCCCUUCACAUUCAAUUUGGAGUUUUCAUUUCUUUGACCCUAAGACAUACAUUUUUUUUUCUAUGAGUAUUUUCUCUGAAAAGAAGAAGAAAAAGAAAAGAAAAGAAAAUUAUACCCUCCUACUCCCUGGCUUUUCCUUUUUAUAAGAACCAUAGCUUUAUCUAAGAUUUCCAACUUUCCUCAGUUCCUUACUCUCCUCCACAGAGUAUGUGUAUUCUAGGCACACUGCAUCACCAGAGUUUGGCCACAUGGUGGUCCUCCAAAAAAAUCUGGUUUUUAUUUAUAAUAUUUUAUCUUUCAUCUCUCUGGUGCCUUUUCUCAUUACACCUACUUAAUUCUUUUUAGACUCAGCCUGUGUGGAGUGAGAAAUUAGUGCAUUAGUCUCAUUAUUAAUAGUUAUUAAAAUCUCCAAGAAGUCAAUAAAAGCUGUUCCCCCCCCCCCAUCUCUAUCCACCUCUCUUCAAGACAAAAUUACCCCAACCAAAUUCUUCUCAAAGUAGGACAAAAGCAUUACAGCUUUAAGUGUUUGGAGUUCUGUCUUUGGAGUUUGUUUGAGAACCUGCCUUAGGGAGGUGUUCUAGGCUGAUCUUGUCUUAGAUCUUAUAGUACUCAAUGAUCAAAGCUUAAAUACCAUUUUGUCUUAGAAGUCUCUCCCAUUGUUGUCAGAUCCAGUAUCUGAAAUGAUCCUCACAUCAACUCCUUCCAGAUAAUGUAGCCCAGAACUCCUCUCUACAACACUAAAGGCUAUUAAACUGAAUAUUCCUUUCUUUAUUUCUGGAUUGAAAAUCUUUGUCUCCAACUCUUUAAAAUGUUAAUUUGAAGGAAGGCUUGAAUGUUUCAAAUAACUAUAUUGAAUUUUCCUAGAAAUUGGAAGUGUCUAUGUACACCUUGGGACAUUGUAGCACGAACAUUGUAUUGGGUUCAGUCUCUUGUCAGUCUAAGGCAUGACUGCACAUCUCUGUCUCUCUCUCUCUGUAAAUCAGGGGAACAUUUGUCUGAGAUCUAUGAUGUGAGAUAUUGCUCUACAUCUCUCUCAAUAAAUACAUUCCAUUUUAGAAGGUUUUUCUUGGUCUUUUUUAAUAGUAAAGAAGAUAUUUUCAAGGCCCCCUUAAAAUUCUACUUCACACAAGCCCUUUAUCAAUGACCCAAUGUUUUUCAAUACCUAUUGAAAAUCUUUUUCUUUGCUAAUGUCACUCAAAUCUCUCUCUCCCUCUAAUGCUUUUCUUCCUCCUGAUUGUAAUUAAAACACCAUAAAAAGGUUGACUGAUGACUUGAGUUUUCAUUUAGGAAUUACAUAGCUGAAUUCCUUGGCGACCUUAAAUUAAUAUAUAUCAGUCUUUUAAAGUGAUUUCCAUAUCACACCCCUCCAUGUGCCCUUAAUAAUUUUUAUUACCUUAUAUUCAGGAAAAGUUGC
This is a long non-coding RNA of Monodelphis domestica (gray short-tailed opossum), 3842 nucleotides long. RefSeq lists it as uncharacterized. NCBI's taxonomy places the organism in Eukaryota, Metazoa, Chordata, Mammalia, Didelphimorphia, Didelphidae. The record is from RefSeq and is a predicted model, not a curated record.